UACGGGGGGGGCAAGCGUUGUUCGGAAUUACUGGGCGUAAAGGGCUCGUAGGCGGCCAACUAAGUCGGAUGUGAAAUCCCCAGGCUCAACUUGGGAACUGCAUCCGAUACUGGAUGGCUUGAAUUCGGGAGAGGGAUGCAGAAUUCCAGGUGUAGCGGUGAAAUGCGCAGAUAUCAGGAGGAACACCGGUGGCGAAGGCGGAUCUCUGGGCCUUACCUGACGCUCAGGCGCGAAAGCUAGGGGAGCGAACUGG
RNAcentral lists this ribosomal RNA (253 nucleotides) under uncultured bacterium. RNAcentral's name for it is "partial 16S ribosomal RNA". It matches the Rfam family "Bacterial small subunit ribosomal RNA", at positions 524 to 776 of the family's 1533-position model. The record is from RNAcentral.